CAGUGAGGAAUCUUCCACAAUGGGCGAAAGCCUGAUGGAGCAACGCCGCGUGCAGGAUGAAGGCCUUCGGGUCGUAAACUGCUUUUAUGAGUGAAGAAUAUGACGGUAACUCAUGAAUAAGCACCGGCUAACUACGUGCCAGCAGCCGCGGUCAUACGUAGGGUGCAAGCAUUAUCCGGAGUGACUGGGCGUAAAGAGUUGCGUAGGUGGUUUGUUAAGUGAAUAGUGAAAUCUGGGGGCUCAACCUCACAGACUAUUAUUCAAACUGGCAAACUCGAGAAUGGUAGAGGUAACUGGAAUUUCUAGUGUAGGAGUGAAAUCCGUAGAUAUUAGAAGGAACACCAAUGGCGUAGGCAGGUUACUGGACCAUUUCUGACACUGAGGCACGAAAGCGUGGGGAGCGAACGGGAUUAGA
Molecule: ribosomal RNA, 415 nt
Filed under: uncultured bacterium
Lineage: Bacteria
Description: bacterial SSU rRNA
Rfam family: Bacterial small subunit ribosomal RNA
Source: RNAcentral